UGGAUCGAGUGGUUGCUUUGAUUUUGAAGUAGAUUGUGGUUUUUGAUUCUUUUGGGGUUCUUAGAUAGAUUCUGAUUUGUUGAUAAUGGAUGUGGUGGCUUAUGAUCUAAUUUGAUAGCCACUAGAAUUGGUUAGAGUUUUUUUUGUUGUAUGAGUUUUUUUUAAUCUUUAUGCUUUUUAAUUGUUUUCUAGUCCUUAUUAUUCUUUGAGAAUUUUAUUAUAACUCUUUAGUGAUUUUGUCACUUUUUAUUAAUUUAAUAUAAUAUUGUUUAUCAUUAAAAAAAUUGUUC
This 290-nucleotide long non-coding RNA is filed under the name Lathyrus oleraceus (garden pea). RNAcentral's name for it is "Pisum sativum (pea) long non-coding RNA (PSAT_LNC001459)". The record is from RNAcentral. Lineage: Eukaryota; Viridiplantae; Streptophyta; Magnoliopsida; Fabales; Fabaceae.